AGAGCGGAGGUAUCCGGGGAGACAGGUGGUGCAUGGCUGUCGUCAGCUCGUGUCGUGAGAUGUGGUUAAGUCCGCAACGAGCGCAACCCCUAUCUCAGUUGCCAUCAUUAAGUUGGGCACUCUGUGGAGACUGCCGGUGUCAAACCGGAGGAAGGUGGGGAUGACGUCAAGUCCUCAUGGCCCUUAUGACCAGGGCUACACACGUGCUACAAUGGCCGGUACAAAGAGUUGCGAUACCGCGAGGUGGAGCUAAUCUCAUAAAGCCGGUCUCAGUUCGGAUUGGAGUCUGCAACUCGACUCCAUGAAGUUGGAAUCGCUAGUAAUCGCGGAUCAGCACGCCGCGGUGAAUACGUUCCCGGGCCUU
This 364-nucleotide ribosomal RNA is filed under the name uncultured Geobacter sp. RNAcentral describes it as "bacterial SSU rRNA". It matches the Rfam family "Bacterial small subunit ribosomal RNA", at positions 1011 to 1382 of the family's 1533-position model. Lineage: Bacteria; Pseudomonadati; Thermodesulfobacteriota; Desulfuromonadia; Geobacterales; Geobacteraceae. The record is from RNAcentral.